AGGAGAGUUUGAUCCUGGCUCAGGAUGAACGCUGGCGGCGUGCUUAACACAUGCAAGUCGAACGAAGCUCUAUGAACGGAGGAUUCGUCCAAAGUGAUUAGAUGACUUAGUGGCGGACGGGUGAGUAACGCGUGGGGAAUCUGCCCCGUACCGGGGGAUAACACUUAGAAAUAGGUGCUAAUACCGCAUAAGCGCACGGUGUCGCAUGACACAGUGUGAAAAACUCCGGUGGUACGGGAUGAUCCCGCGUCUGAUUAGCCAGUUGGCAGGGUAACGGCCUACCAAAGCGACGAUCAGUAGCCGGCCUGAGAGGGUGAACGGCCACAUUGGGACUGAGACACGGCCCAAACUCCUACGGGAGGCAGCAGUGGGGAAUAUUGCACAAUGGGGGAAACCCUGAUGCAGCGACGCCGCGUGAGUGAAGAAGUAUCUCGGUAUGUAAAGCUCUAUCAGCAGGGAAGAAAAUGACGGUACCUGACUAAGAAGCCCCGGCUAACUACGUGCCAGCAGCCGCGGUAAUACGUAGGGGGCAAGCGUUAUCCGGAUUUACUGGGUGUAAAGGGUGCGUAGACGGUGUGACAAGUCUGAAGUGAAAUGCAUGGGCUCAACUCAUGAACUGCUUUGGAAACUGCCACACUGGAGUACAGGAGGGGUAAGCGGAAUUCCUGGUGUAGCGGUGAAAUGCUUAGAUAUCAGGAGGAACACCGGCGGCGAAGGCGGCUUACUGGACUGUAACUGACGUUGAGGCACGAAAGCGUGGGGAGCAAACAGGAUUAGAUACCCUGGUAGUCCCCU
RNAcentral lists this ribosomal RNA (795 nucleotides) under uncultured Bacillota bacterium. RNAcentral's name for it is "bacterial SSU rRNA". It matches the Rfam family "Bacterial small subunit ribosomal RNA", at positions 1 to 799 of the family's 1533-position model. The record is from RNAcentral. Lineage: Bacteria; Bacillati; Bacillota.